Molecule: transfer RNA, 89 nt
Filed under: Ideonella aquatica
Lineage: Bacteria; Pseudomonadati; Pseudomonadota; Betaproteobacteria; Burkholderiales; Sphaerotilaceae
Description: Ideonella sp. 4Y11 tRNA-Leu
Rfam family: tRNA
About the family: Transfer RNA (tRNA) molecules are approximately 80 nucleotides in length.
Source: RNAcentral
GCCUGGAUGGCGAAAUCGGUAGACGCAGCGGACUUAAACUCCGCAGCCCUGCAAGGGGCGUACGGGUUCGAGUCCCGUUCCAGGCACCA